This 271-nucleotide ribosomal RNA is filed under the name uncultured prokaryote. RNAcentral's name for it is "partial 16S ribosomal RNA". It matches the Rfam family "Bacterial small subunit ribosomal RNA", at positions 524 to 794 of the family's 1533-position model. The record is from RNAcentral.
UACGUAGGUGGCAAGCGUUAUCCGGAAUUAUUGGGCGUAAAGAGCGCGCAGGUGGUUGAUUAAGUCUGAUGUGAAAGCCCACGGCUUAACCGUGUAGGGUCAUUGGAAACUGGUCGACUUGAGUGCAGAAGAGGGAAGUGGAAUUCCAUGUGUAGCGGUGAAAUGCGUAGAGAUUUGGAGGAACACCAGUGGCGAAGGCGACUUUCUGGUCUGUAACUGACGCUGAGGCGCGAAAGCGUGGGGAGCGAACAGGAUUAGAUACCCCGGUAGU